UGGGGAAUAUUGCACAAUGGGCGCAAGCCUGAUGCAGCCAUGCCGCGUGUAUGAAGAAGGCCUUCGGGUUGUAAAGUACUUUCAGCGGGGAGGAAGGGAGUAAAGUUAAUACCUUUGCUCAUUGACGUUACCCGCAGAAGAAGCACCGGCUAACUCCGUGCCAGCAGCCGCGGUAAUACGGAGGGUGCAAGCGUUAAUCGGAAUUACUGGGCGUAAAGCGCACGCAGGCGGUUUGUUAAGUCAGAUGUGAAAUCCUCGGGCUCAACCUGGGAACUGCAUCUGAUACUGGCAAGCUGGAGUGUCGUAGAGGGGGGUAGAAUUCCAGGUGUAGCGGUGAAAUGCGUAGAGAUCUGGAGGAAUACCGGUGGCGAAGGCGGCCCCCUGGACGAAGACUGACGCUCAGGUGCGAAAGCGUGGGGAGCAAACAGG
Molecule: ribosomal RNA, 429 nt
Filed under: Chloroflexota bacterium
Lineage: Bacteria; Bacillati; Chloroflexota
Description: Chloroflexi bacterium partial 16S ribosomal RNA
Rfam family: Bacterial small subunit ribosomal RNA
Source: RNAcentral